Molecule: ribosomal RNA, 1623 nt
Filed under: Salmonella enterica subsp. enterica serovar Paratyphi A
Lineage: Bacteria; Pseudomonadati; Pseudomonadota; Gammaproteobacteria; Enterobacterales; Enterobacteriaceae
Description: bacterial SSU rRNA
Rfam family: Bacterial small subunit ribosomal RNA
Source: RNAcentral
AACACGUAAUUCAUUACGAAGUUUAAUUCAUUGAGCAUCAAACUUUUAAAUUGAAGAGUUUGAUCAUGGCUCAGAUUGAACGCUGGCGGCAGGCCUAACACAUGCAAGUCGAACGGUAACAGGAAGCAGCUUGCUGCUUUGCUGACGAGUGGCGGACGGGUGAGUAAUGUCUGGGAAACUGCCUGAUGGAGGGGGAUAACUACUGGAAACGGUGGCUAAUACCGCAUAACGUCGCAAGACCAAAGAGGGGGACCUUCGGGCCUCUUGCCAUCAGAUGUGCCCAGAUGGGAUUAGCUUGUUGGUGAGGUAACGGCUCACCAAGGCGACGAUCCCUAGCUGGUCUGAGAGGAUGACCAGCCACACUGGAACUGAGACACGGUCCAGACUCCUACGGGAGGCAGCAGUGGGGAAUAUUGCACAAUGGGCGCAAGCCUGAUGCAGCCAUGCCGCGUGUAUGAAGAAGGCCUUCGGGUUGUAAAGUACUUUCAGCGGGGAGGAAGGUGUUGUGGUUAAUAACCGCAGCAAUUGACGUUACCCGCAGAAGAAGCACCGGCUAACUCCGUGCCAGCAGCCGCGGUAAUACGGAGGGUGCAAGCGUUAAUCGGAAUUACUGGGCGUAAAGCGCACGCAGGCGGUCUGUCAAGUCGGAUGUGAAAUCCCCGGGCUCAACCUGGGAACUGCAUUCGAAACUGGCAGNNNNNNNNNNNNNNNNNNNNGUAGCGGUGAAAUGCGUAGAGAUCUGGAGGAAUACCGGUGGCGAAGGCGGCCCCCUGGACAAAGACUGACGCUCAGGUGCGAAAGCGUGGGGAGCAAACAGGAUUAGAUACCCUGGUAGUCCACGCCGUAAACGAUGUCUACUUGGAGGUUGUGCCCUUGAGGCGUGGCUUCCGGAGCUAACGCGUUAAGUAGACCGCCUGGGGAGUACGGCCGCAAGGUUAAAACUCAAAUGAAUUGACGGGGGCCCGCACAAGCGGUGGAGCAUGUGGUUUAAUUCGAUGCAACGCGAAGAACCUUACCUGGUCUUGACAUCCACGGAAGUUUUCAGAGAUGAGAAUGUGCCUUCGGGAACCGUGAGACAGGUGCUGCAUGGCUGUCGUCAGCUCGUGUUGUGAAAUGUUGGGUUAAGUCCCGCAACGAGCGCAACCCUUAUCCUUUGUUGCCAGCGGUCCGGCCGGGAACUCAAAGGAGACUGCCAGUGAUAAACUGGAGGAAGGUGGGGAUGACGUCAAGUCAUCAUGGCCCUUACGACCAGGGCUACACACGUGCUACAAUGGCGCAUACAAAGAGAAGCGACCUCGCGAGAGCAAGCGGACCUCAUAAAGUGCGUCGUAGUCCGGAUUGGAGUCUGCAACUCGACUCCAUGAAGUCGGAAUCGCUAGUAAUCGUGGAUCAGAAUGCCACGGUGAAUACGUUCCCGGGCCUUGUACACACCGCCCGUCACACCAUGGGAGUGGGUUGCAAAAGAAGUAGGUAGCUUAACCUUCGGGAGGGCGCUUACCACUUUGUGAUUCAUGACUGGGGUGAAGUCGUAACAAGGUAACCGUAGGGGAACCUGCGGUUGGAUCACCUCCUUACCUUAAAGAAGCGUACUUUGCAGUGCUCACACAGAUUGUCUGAUGAAAA